GUGCUCGCUUCGGCAGCACAUAUACUAAAAUUGGAACGAUACAGAGAAGAUUAGCAUGGCACCUGCGCAAGGAUGACACGAAAAUUCGUUAAGUGUUCCAUAUUUUU
This is a small nuclear RNA of Cricetulus griseus (Chinese hamster), 107 nucleotides long. The record is from Ensembl. NCBI's taxonomy places the organism in Eukaryota, Metazoa, Chordata, Mammalia, Rodentia, Cricetidae.